UGAGGAAUAUUGGUCAAUGGGCGGGAGCCUGAACCAGCCAAGCCGCGUGAGGGAAGAAGGCCCUAUGGGUCGUAAACCUCUUUUGUCAGGGAACAAAAGCGAGUAUGUAUACUAGUCUGAGUGUACCUGAAGAAAAAGCAUCGGCUAACUCCGUGCCAGCAGCCGCGGUAAUACGGAGGAUUCGAGCGUUAUCCGGAUUUAUUGGGUUUAAAGGGUGCGUAGGCGGCGAUGCAAGUCAGCGGUAAAAGCCCGGGGCUCAA
Molecule: ribosomal RNA, 260 nt
Filed under: uncultured Bacteroidota bacterium
Lineage: Bacteria; Pseudomonadati; Bacteroidota
Description: uncultured Bacteroidetes bacterium partial 16S ribosomal RNA
Rfam family: Bacterial small subunit ribosomal RNA
Source: RNAcentral